Molecule: small nuclear RNA, 191 nt
Organism: Suncus etruscus (white-toothed pygmy shrew)
Lineage: Eukaryota; Metazoa; Chordata; Mammalia; Eulipotyphla; Soricidae
Product: U2 spliceosomal RNA
Exons: 1
Source: RefSeq, a predicted model, not a curated record
AUCAUUUCUUGGUCUUUUGUCAUGAUCAAGUGUAGUUUCUGUCCUUAUUAGUUUAAUAUCUGAUACAUCAUCUAUCCAAUGACAAUAUAUUUAAUGGAUUUGUUGGCACUAGGAAAUGGAAUAGGAGUUUGCUCCAUCCAGUCCACACAUGGAUCUGAUAUUUCAGUACCUUCAAGAAUGGUACACAAAAA